Vigna umbellata (rice bean) is the source of this 799-nucleotide long non-coding RNA. RefSeq lists it as uncharacterized. NCBI's taxonomy places the organism in Eukaryota, Viridiplantae, Streptophyta, Magnoliopsida, Fabales, Fabaceae. The record is from RefSeq and is a predicted model, not a curated record.
CUCUUCCUUUAAGCAAGUCUUAAUUAAUAAAGUACAUGCAUUUUCCUAUUAGGUACCACAAAGUUAUUUUUAGAAAGUUCAAUAUUUCAAUUAAAUUUCAAAACUUUAAAACCUUUUUUACAGAUCCGGUCAAUUUUAGGAGACAAGGCCAUGGAUUUUCUUUGAGGGAUAGGUGACAAACUCAGAUGAAGCAAGGGAUAAUGUUAUUUCUUAACGACUGGGGAAAAAAUAAAGGUGUUUUACAGCAGAAACAUAGAAUAAGUGAAGUCUUCAUUUGUUAAAUAUUCCCAUGAUCCCGCCAUUUGAAGUUACUUUUCAGAAAGUUGAAGAUAGUGCAAACCUUACUUAACUGUCUUUUUAUCCUUUUCCUAUCUUUAUAGAUCAGUGUUUGCUUCUCUUCAUCACCAAGGCAUCUUCUCUGUCUCUUUAGGUCCUCCUCUGCCUUAUAUCUUGAUGAAAGACUAGUUGUUCAUUCCAAUUUCAAGAAUUGAUCUUUCAGGGGGAAUAAUGGCCAUGGGAAGUAUUUUUGCAGCUGUGCCAGCUAUUGCUGCUGCUGCUGGAUUUUAUUUCAUAGGCAGAAACAACGUCAAGGAAAUCAAACAAGGGUCAUCAGUAUCCAGUCAAAAGAUGCUAGCAGAAGUGAAAGAACGAGCAAAGAGCCUUCAAAUGCCAAAAUUGGCACCACAGUUUGAUGGUUUAGAUUGUUUCGAAACCUUGGUGAUGAAUUGAGUUUGCUUGGGAUGGAACUGUUUGUGCCUUGUGCAGAAUGAAUGUUAGAUACGGGGAAAAAUUAUUUUGA